GAAGAGCAAGGGCAUCGGAGGGGGAAGGAACCUGCUCGUUCAGGGCGACAGUAUCUGGGCCGAGCUAGGGAAAGAAGAAGGUCCCGAAGCCCUACUCCUCAGAGAUCAAAGAGGACUUAUCACCCUGCCGAUUCCAGGGGACAGGGGCGAAGCGAAAGAAGAGGUCGAUCCAGGGAUCGCACUCCAGAACAUGCAAAGAAAGUCCUUGUCGUUGCACAUUCUCGCCAUAGUGCCCGGGUUCAGAGGCGAAGUAUAUCCAGA
Molecule: long non-coding RNA, 261 nt
Filed under: Panax ginseng (ginseng)
Lineage: Eukaryota; Viridiplantae; Streptophyta; Magnoliopsida; Apiales; Araliaceae
Description: long non-coding RNA (PGIN_LNC008440)
Source: RNAcentral